AAAAGCUGUUUUGGAAAUGUUGCUUGUGUGUACUUUUACGGCUUAGACACUGCACCAUUUUAGCCUGUUUUGAUGAAUAAUUGAAGAAUUACUGUCCCACUCUAAGACAGCAUUUCAAAGUGCAUGUGUAACUCAUAUACUUGAUUAAACAUUUCCUUGCCUUUCUCUUCAGAAUGCCAAUUGGCUUUUGAGUGGAUAAUUGUUGCAGUGAGAGCAGUGACAUUGGAAACAACUAUUGCCUGUUUGAAUUACUUAAAGCACCACCAUGAAAAGAAAUACCUGUGAUUUGCUUUCCCGGAGCAAAAGUGCCUCUGAGGAGACACUGCACUCCAGUCAUGAAGAGGAAGACCCUUUGAAAGGAAUGGAACCCUAUCUCGUAAGGAGACUUUCCUGCCGCAACAUCCAGCUUCCCCCUCUCGCCUUCAGACAGUUGGAACAAGCAGACUUGAAGAGUGAAUCAGAGAACCUUCAGAGGCCAACCAGCCUCCCCUUGAAGAUUCUACCCCUGAUUGCUAUCACUUCUGCCGACUCCAGUGGGACCAUGGGCUUGCCUGAGAGAGUUCGUCUCAAGGAGCUGGAGGAGAUAGAAGGACAAAAGCCCAAUACAGAAGUACUCUUUCAAACCUCUUUCCUUAUAGUUGCUAAUAUUCCAAUGACUGAGGGCAGAGUCAAGGGGUGAAGCAGAUAUUCCCACUCUUGCUGAGAGGGCGCCACAAAAUUACAUGGCAAAGAAUAUGAAUACAGAGAGUGGGGAAUUGGGGCCAAAUGUUGAAUCCUUCCAAGAGAGGUGGGGCAGAGGAACGUGCUAGGAUUUCCAGUGCCUUUGUUUCAAAUAAUGAACAAAGUUCAGAGUUCAACUGUGAGGACAACAAGAAGGGAUGCCAAGGUCAGCCGUUGCAGCUUCACAUAUAUUUAAGGAGAAUACUCACCUCUCAGAUACCUAUCUGUCUUUGAAAUGUACUUAUUUUUUAUCAUGGGCCAAAGUAAAACUCAGAACUAUUGAGAUAUUUGCCUUUGUAUAGAAAAAGCGUUCCAAAUAGAAACCAACUCUCCUCCCUUCAUCCCUCUCUCCCUCCCUCUCUUCCUCCCUUCGUCUGUCUUGGGUUCUGAUCUUUGGGGUAUCUAGUUAAUGAGGUCUCAUUUGAUGCUUAUAAAUCUUUCUCACCCAUGUCUUUUAGCAUCAGUUUUAGGCAGCUUAGAAAUAGAGUUUGACCAAUAGUUUUAUUGGUGCAUCAAACUUAUUGAGAAAUGGCUUCAGGAGUUCCAUCUUUUGAAAUAUUACUAAUUCUAAAGUUAGUAGUCAGUAGUUGACAAAAAUAAAUAUUGAUUCAGAAAUGGACUUGCUCAUCAGGGAAAUAAACCUGGUAGCUUUUAGUCAUAAUUUAUUUAUAAGCCUUUCCAUGUUAUAUUCAGAGAUGAACUUUGAAUUGAAGAAAAAGUCAAGUAUUCUUUUUUGUAUGUUUUGAAAAUAUAACAGACUUUGAUGUAUUUAGGGGACCUAGAAUCUUUAAAAGCAGAAUAAAAGAUGACUUCUCUGGAGUUAGAAGGCCCCAGUAAAUCACCCAAAAUAACCAAAAAACUGAUUAGAGACAAAUAUGAUUUCCCAGAAAGCAUAACAAUAUAACCAAUUGUUAUUCUUUAUAUCAGACAGAAUAGAAGUGUUGCUUGCUCUAGGAAAAUAAUUGCAUGAUGUGUAAAUCCACGUUGGCCAAGGACAUAAGGCCAGGUAUAGGUCUAUAUACUCAGCAGUCUCUCCAAAGGCAGUCAUUUAUCUUGGCUCUCAGCUCCUUGCUGAUUUUGCUCCCUUGUUGGGCAGUUCUUGGUUCGGAAUUCUGGAAUAAGAUUUAAAAUCUGAUAGGUGACAAGGAUAUUAUCUGGAUGACCAGGGCUCUUGUACGUGAUAGGAAGAAUGCUGAAAUUUACUGUGUUUCAUUCCUCUUAUUUCUGAAUCUGUGAUGCUAAGGCAUUCCUAGGUAAAAUAACGUACUCCUGCCUCCUACCAAGUGGGUGCAUUGGAGAAAAACAAAAAUGUUAUCAAAACUCACUGUCUUUGAAAUCAACUCUUUUGAAAGAAUAUUUUAGAAAGAGGGUUAACCAUUCAAGCUUUCUAACUGAAAUUUGAAAAUAAUGCAGUUUUAAUACUCAGAAAUGAACAUUUUGAGAUUCAUGUUGACUUUUCCUGUAUUGGAAUAUAUUUCUAGAGAUGCCUGUUUUUUUUUGCAUUUUCUCCCACAAUCUAUUUCAGUUGAAAUUUCAGCCAGAUAUAUACUUUUUCUUCUUUGGCUCAUUAUGCAAAUUAACAGAAAAAUUCAGUGAUGAGAAGUAAAGGUCUUUCCACUCAGGAGGUAAUAGGCCACAUCAGUAAUAGGGUAAAAUAAUUACAGAAUUACUUGCAGCUACUAUGACUGUGUAUUCUCUACUAUUCAGAGGAAAAUCUUUUAUGCACUCAUCACUACACAGUUUAUUCUUCCACUGAUGCGUGGGAAAUUGAUGCAUUUAACUGUCCCACUCAUUGAUGGGAGAAGUGCGUUCCUACAGAAAUACAUUUUUUUUUAAUUCAUGUGACAUUUAAUCCUGACUUUAUUUUUCCUCCACUAAAAUUAUCUUUUGUAGACAAUCUUCUCUUCAUAUGUAUUAUGAGUAUGAACAUCAGAAUAGCUCAGUAGGCUGGAAAAGCAAAGACAUGUCUGUGUAUAGAAUUGCAAUGCUUUCCUUUCCAAAAGGAAAAUAUCAUUUAUUAUUUUCUACUUUUGAUAAAUAAAAGCAAAGUCAUUGUCAAGAAGAGGGGUGCAUUAAAUGAUCUAUAAGUAUUCUUUUCGCUAAAAAAGUCCUGAUUCUCACUUAUUACAAGGAAAUAGUAGUACUGAACUGGAAUUAUGAGCUCUGUGUUCAAUCAAGUUCCCUCACUGGAUUGCGGACUCAUUUUGGAGGGAUAAUUCCCAUUUGAUCCUUGAGCACUAAGCUAUAAUAUGUCCCACAGUUGUUUCAGUGAACAAACCAGAAAAAAGUGCCUGAAUCAUAUGUAACUCUUGUUUAAUCCAAGGGAAAUAGCUUAGAAUACUUAACUCACAGUUUAAAAUAAUUAUUUUUGUCAAGGUCAAAUUAAGUCUUUCAAAGAUACCAUAAUUAUGCGAAUCAAAAAAUGUAUUUAUGUGAAACAAAUGCCCUUUUUUUCCAGACUUGCUAUUAAAAG
RNAcentral lists this long non-coding RNA (3193 nucleotides) under Capra hircus (goat). RNAcentral describes it as "lncRNA (ENSCHIG00000003790.1)". The record is from RNAcentral. Lineage: Eukaryota; Metazoa; Chordata; Mammalia; Artiodactyla; Bovidae.